UACGGGGGGGGCAAGCGUUGUUCGGAAUUACUGGGUGUAAAGGGCUCGUAGGCGGCCAACUAAGUCGGAUGUGAAAUCCCCAGGCUUAACCUGGGAACUGCAUCCGAUACUGGAUGGCUUGAAUCCGGGAGAGGGAUGCAGAAUUCCAGGUGUAGCGGUGAAAUGCGUAGAUAUCUGGAGGAACACCGGUGGCGAAGGCGGCAUCCUGGACCAACACUGACGCUGAUGAGCGAAAGCCAGGGGAGCAAACGGG
This 253-nucleotide ribosomal RNA is filed under the name uncultured bacterium. RNAcentral describes it as "partial 16S ribosomal RNA". It matches the Rfam family "Bacterial small subunit ribosomal RNA", at positions 524 to 776 of the family's 1533-position model. The record is from RNAcentral.